AUUCCCCAAAAGGAAGGAGAGGAGGGGAAUAGUACACCCUUGUACUAUCACAUUCUAGUUUGACCACUUCACAAUGUACUACCCAUUUUGCUUGUACUAACUAAGUGUGGACUGUACUGCAAUCCUUCCAGUACCGUACUACCACUACUCUCAAUCCAUCCUAUUAUUGCUAUUAUUUCCUUUCUUUCUUUGCCUCGGGUGAUUAGCAAAACAGCCUAGCAAUAGGUCCCUGAAAAGGAAAUGACUUCAGUGUGCAUAUAGCAAAUGGAUGGCCCAGACCAACCUUAAACCACCCAUCUCUGCACUCACCGGAAACUGUCAUGUCUGCCAAAGUUUCCAGCAUGCAACCUUCCUGCAAAAAACUAUAUUUUCUCCUAGCUAUUGCCAUAAUCAGAUCGUCAGUUGAAAAUCAAGCUGAAUUCCAAUGGGCAAGGGCGGAAGCAACUUGGAAUCCAGGUGGGACAUGUUGACAAAAGGCUGUGUUUCAUGCAUGGACAAGAGUCAACACAGACCCUCGAAAGUGGGAUAUCACAUGCAAGGAGAACAUAAAAAUCUUUGAGGAUCUCCUAUCAGGACAAUUGAACAGCCCCCCUUCUCAUUUUAUUACAAAACAGGAGGUUUCUGCCUCUGUGGAUGAUCAUCUGUCAAGUUGACAUUAAAAAUUUGGUACAAGUUAGGUGCUCAACCCACAUGGUUGUAGGAAUAUCUUUUUCCCACAUCCUAACUAACUUGAUGUUAACUGUUUGUUGCAUGUAUUGCAGAUGUCAAACACAUUGCUUUUUCUUUAAACUUCCUUUUUUGUUCUUUUUCCUCCUUUGAUGUGGUCCAGAGAUUCAAAACAUUAAACAGAGUCUAGCUUAUUGAUUCCAGUUACAAGUUGCCUGGAACCAUUUUCCCCAGGCAUCACUGUCUCAGAAAAUAUUAGCUUCCAUUUUGAAUAAUUCGGAGAUGUUCAUGUAAUGUAAAUCAUCAAGCUUUCCAUUGA
Long non-coding RNA from Vitis riparia (riverbank grape), 985 nucleotides. RefSeq lists it as uncharacterized. The record is from RefSeq and is a predicted model, not a curated record. The transcript has 2 exons. Lineage: Eukaryota; Viridiplantae; Streptophyta; Magnoliopsida; Vitales; Vitaceae.